RNAcentral lists this transfer RNA (76 nucleotides) under Ruegeria sp. HKCCD6109. Its description in RNAcentral is "tRNA-Cys". It matches the Rfam family "tRNA". From Rfam's summary of the family: Transfer RNA (tRNA) molecules are approximately 80 nucleotides in length. Their secondary structure includes four short double-helical elements and three loops (D, anti-codon, and T loops). The record is from RNAcentral. Lineage: Bacteria; Pseudomonadati; Pseudomonadota; Alphaproteobacteria; Rhodobacterales; Roseobacteraceae.
GAUGCAGUGGCCCGAAUGGUAUGGCGCUGGAUUGCAAAUCCAGAAAAUGCGGGUUCGAACCCCGCCUGCAUCUCCA